CUGGAGAAAAUCCUGCUCCCUGGUUGCUGAACCAAUGUUCCAAAAUGGAGACUAUUCUGCUAUUUUGAAGACAGCUCACGCUCCCCUUUCACUUCUUGCAGUGAAAUCAGCAGCAGGGUUUUGCACUCUCUGUUAUGACUCUCAUCACAUCAGAUUGAUUGCUGCAGUCUCAGGAUCCUGCAGAAAAUGUGGGGCAGGAAGAAAGUUGUUAUUCAGGCAAAAUUAUCUCCAGUAGCAGCAGCAGGAACCCCGAAUACACCCAGCAGUGGCAACACCAACAGAUAUAAUGACAAGGAGCUGGGAUGUGAUUUCAGCCAAAGUCAAACAUUUUUGGUCUGUAAAGCGUCAUCUUUGUGAAAAUGUUACACGCGCCCCUGUUUGUUCCAGGCACUGCAAGAAUCUGUAUUCAGAAGAAAAAGAAGAGGACUAUCGUGAGGAACAUUUAAGGAAUACUGAAAAAUGCUGGUGCAGGGUUAUUGUCCCCUUACUAAGAGCAAAACAUCUCUGCAGAGAGGCACUGGAGCAGAUCUGAGGCAAUGAGUCCACUCCAUUGAAUGCACUGCUAUGUGGUACGUGGUGCUAGACUUCACCAUAUCUUUAGAGCACAUGGUGCUAGGAGCUCCAUAACUCCAGCUAGCUGAGUUCAGAAUUUGGCCCUAAAGCUUGACAUUUCAGAGCGACUGUAAUGAAUAGUAUAAAUUGAAAAUGUAAGUGUUGCAUAAUCCUGACACACCUGUAACCUGUCUGUGCGCGUGUGCCCUGGCUUCAGACAGCUGCAUGCGCUCAGUGGCUUACAGUCCACCAAGGGACUUAGCCACUAGGGGACUAAGCUUUAGUGCUUUGAAGAUUGUUUCUGAAACGUUGCCAUUGGGUCUGUCUACAUUCUCAUUGGCGGGGGGGAGCCU
Molecule: long non-coding RNA, 905 nt
Organism: Mauremys mutica (yellowpond turtle)
Lineage: Eukaryota; Metazoa; Chordata; Testudines; Geoemydidae
Exons: 3
Source: RefSeq, a predicted model, not a curated record